RNAcentral lists this long non-coding RNA (5604 nucleotides) under Setaria viridis. RNAcentral's name for it is "long non-coding RNA (SVIR_LNC011410)". Lineage: Eukaryota; Viridiplantae; Streptophyta; Magnoliopsida; Poales; Poaceae. The record is from RNAcentral.
UUUUUUUUUUUUUUUGAGGGCUACUGCGGUGUUGUACUGCCUUCCACCAAUGCUGCGCAGCGCAGGGCAGGAGAGGAUUGCAGGAGGAGGAGCUGAGGGCUGAGGCUGAGCAAAGCCGCCAAAGCCCAGCCCAGUAGGUUGGCUAUAAAACCCCCGCACUGCAUCUGCCGUCCUCCGCCUCUCCCCUUUUGCAUGCCUCACCGGCCUCUCCACCUCCUCCCCCUCCGCCUCCCUCCAAUUCGAUACCACUGCUAACCCCUGCUCCCCCAAUCCGGAUCCCCCCAACCGAUCCCCCGGAUUCGCCGUCCCAUCUUCCCGUGCCGGGUCCGCGAUUCCAUCCCCACUCCCGCAAUCUGAUCGGAUCUUUCGUCUCCCUGGUGGGUUUUGAUUUCCCAUCGUUUUUUCUUGGAUUGCGUGUGUGUGUGUUUCGGAGCGUUGUUGAUUGGUAUGGAGAUGAGGGGUGCGAAGGCGGCGGCGGCGGCGGCGGAGAGGACGGAGGAGAAAGAGAUGGACUUGCUCCUCAGCGAGAUCCCCCACGUCACGUCGCCGCAGGAGCAGCGCGGCGUCGGCGUCAUCGGCCACGGCAACGGCGUUCAUGGUGCCGCGGGCGCCCACGGGUACGCCGCGCCGCGCUACGGCGAGGACGGCUACUUCGCCAUGGUCCUGAACCGUCGCGAUGAUGGUGCUCCACCCCAGGGCGGCGGCGGCGGUGGUGGCGGCGGCGCUGCAGGGGGCGUGGGCUUCGCCGCGCCGCUUCCCCUGGGCUCCGCGCCAUCGCGGGUGUCAGGACCGUUCGUCGGGGGCGCGGCGCUGUCGCCGCCGCCGCUGGCGCGGGCGGUUGGCGACCCGGAGCAGCAGUGGCUCGCGAACCAGCUCCGCGGCCUGCGCAUUGGGGACGCGCAGGCCGCGCUCCAGCGCCAGGGCCCGCCGCCGGUCAAGAGCGCGACCCCGACUGAUGUCUCUGCGGCGCUCGGCGCGUACAAUGGGUACAACUUCGCGGCGCCAGGUUCUUCCGUCCACCAUGAGCACGUGUUCCUUGAUCAGGCCAAAGCGGUGGGGUACGUCGCCCCGCGGCCGCAGUGCUUCGUGUCGGACGUCGGCUUGGAUGGCUACGGCGGCUUCCCCAGAGGCUUGGACACCAGCAUUGGCGGCUUCGUGUACAAUAGGGUAGGGCAUGGCACUGGCAUUGGCUGGGGCCAAGGUUUGGUGCACCCUGAUCUCGCCGAGUCCUACUUGCUUUCCAGGCACACUGGUGCAGAGUUUUUCAGGACGAAUCCGGUUGCUCUUGACGUCCGCGGUGGACCAAAGCUACAAUAUGCAUAUGGUGUCCCCAUGGCAGAUAACAUGUUUGCUAGAAGUGCAAACCAGUUUGAGGCAUUCCGAUGUGAGAACAGUCUGAUGUUUGAUGGGAAGAAGAACAUGAACUUCUUGGAACGUGGGAAGGAGAGGAGAUUCCAGCAGUUUGCCAAUACCAGGGCACUGGAGCUUGGGAAUUCUAGGACUAUGAGGUAUGAGAACAUGGUUCGGGUCAAGGAAUACAUCUACUUCAUGGCCAAGGACCAGUAUGGGUGCCGGUAUUUGCAGCAGAAGUUUGAUGAAGGGAAGCAUCAUGUUGAUGUGAUCUUUGAAGGAAUCAUCAACCACAUUGCAGACCUUAUGACCAACUCUUUUGCCAACUAUCUUGUACAGAAGAUGCUGGUCGUGUGUGAUGACGAGCAAAGGCUGAGGAUCAUUGCUGUGCUGACACAGGAUCCUGUGAAGCUGGUUGCUAUCUCUCAAAACAUGCAUGGGUAAUGCUCUUUUCUUCUGAAAAUUAAUCAGAUAAUUGCGCUAUGAUCCCUGUCUGAUAUUAGAAGCAUUAGUACUUGUUAACCAAUUAUGGCAAUUGCUGAUUUUAGAAUGUUGUUGUUUGAGUCAGUACAAUGAAGUAUGCAGGCAUUAACGAGUGUGUUGUGAUGCUAACAUUUCAUUGCGGACCCAUUUUGUUUAGUGAGGGCAUGCAACGAUGCUGAUGAUUUGGUUGUCUUGAUUUGUUUCAGGACAAGGGCAGUGCAGAAAUUGAUAGAGACUGUUACGACCAGAGAGCAGAUUGUGCUCAUUACUUCAGCCCUACAGCCAGCCUUCAUCGAGCUUGUCAAUGACCCUAAUGGUAAUCAUGUAAUACAGAAGUGCCUGACAAACUUUGGGGCGGAGGAUAACAAGGUACAUAAUAGUUCCUAGUUUGCGAACUUGUUUCUUCUGUUUGUAAAUUCUGACUUGGAGUAAGUAGCUGUCGCAUUCUUUCUCAUGUCACUGACUUUUGAGUAACUGGCAGUCUGGCACAUAAGUUAGAGAAAUGAUGCUGGACACAUGUAAUUUACUGGCUGCGGAUACCAAACAGUUUGCAUGAUUUUAGCGCAAGCACAAGCAUUUCAUAAUUUCAGUUAGCAAUGUGUGUUCAUAUGCAUCUUCAAUCAGACAUUUUCUUGCAUCAAGUAGUUCUCUUCAAAUGACUUUGCUCGAGCUGUUUCUUUUAAAAUAUUUUUGCUUACAGACUAGCAAACAUUUAACCAUCCAUCAGUAUGUAAAUAUGUUUUUCUUGAAUCUCUGCUUGUGUAUGAAUUAGCCUACCACAGUUUACUAUGGUAUUUUCUCCAGAGGCUUUGUUUGGAUACGAAAACAGUAUCAUUUAAUUUUAUUUUUUUGCGUAUUCAUGAAAUUAUGAGGUCUGUAUCCACCUGAAUUCAAGAUUGCAGGGACGAAUUGAGACAUUUAGAAAGUUUGGGAUCUGAAAUGAAAUAAUACACAAAAUUCAACUGCAUUCAGUAACUAAUAACCAAACUGUAGCUAUGCUUUACUAAAUUAUCUGUGUUUAAGUGCCAAGGACCAUUUCUUUAUGCAUGUCGUUUCAUAGUGGUGGUGAUGUCUUACGAUCUGCCUUAAGAACCUCACUCCUCUUGUUAUUGACUUUCACUAUGAGAUCUUGUGCUUUUUUUCACAUAACUUGUGCAUGGGAAUACAUGUUCUGUGCAUGCACAUGGUUUUUAUGCACUAGUGAUAGAGAAAUUAGGGGGUAGAUACGAUCAUGUUGCUAAUUUUCAGUUCCUAGGAUUUUUCAAGUGAAAAUUACAAGGUCCUUGUCUGUAUGCUCAAAUUUUCAUAUUAGUAUAGUACUUCAUAUAUUAUCUUGCCGGAGAUCAAUGUUAUGUCAUGAAAUUCUUCUGCUAGCAAAUAUAUGCUAAGUAUGCAUUGAUCUUACUUUACUAGAGUAUCUGCAGCAUAUUUAUAUUUACUUUUUUAAACAGUUCAUAUUCGAGGCUGCUGCAGUUAAUUGUUUUGAUAUGGCAAUACAUCGCCAUGGAUGCUGUGUUCUGCAACGUUGCAUAUCUUGUGCACGUGGUGGAUACCAAGCCAAGCUAAUUGUGGAAAUAUGUGCUCAUGGCUUUGAGCUUGCUCAAGAUCCAUUUGGGUAAACCCUUCGUUGCUUAUAAUGUAUAUUGUUGCAAGAAACAACAUUACUUUGUGCUUGUUUUUCCCAUACAGUACUGAUCUGUCCGGUAGAUUGUAGUCCUCCUUGUACCUUGUUAGCUCACUGCUUUAAUUUAGUGUAGAAAAUAUAUGUUUCCCUUGUUAAUAUAAACCUGUAUAUAUGUAUCUUAGUUCAAAUUCUAUGCAUGUUCCAAAAGUUUUCUCAGUGGUCCUGUGUAGAUAUCUUCAGAAGAUAACAUAUUGUAUUACCAUGGACAGUGAUUAGUGAAAUAAAAAAAAAGUAUGAUGGUAUUAUAAACUUUGUGCCAAGCCGCUACCUAGAUGGACUGAAUGGUUUCCACCUUUACUUUUCUAAAAAACAAAGGGCACUCAACCUGUUUGAAUAGGCAGGGAUUUGUCCAAUUCCCUUAGAUUGGCAUGCUUUAUUCAUUCAAGGGGGGUGAUCCUAAUCCCCUUCGUUCAUACAAGCCUAAAAUGUUUAGUUUAUAUAUUACUCCCUCCGUUUCAAAUUGUAGGUCGUUUUAGCUUUUCUAGGUUCAGCAAAAGCUAUGCACCUAGAUAUAAUAUAUGUCUAGAUGCAUAAUAAUAUUUAUGAACCUAGAAAACUAUGCACUAGAAAAGCCAAAACAACAUACAAUUUGGGACGGAGGGAGUAUAUUUUUACGAUUUUGUUUCUCUAUACUGCUGGCAAUAUUCAACUGUAUCCACUCAUCCCACAAAACUAAGAUUGCUUUCCCAUUUUCCCUUAUUCACAGGAACUAUGUGGUACAGUAUGUUCUGAAUCUGAAAAUUCCUUCUGCAAAUGCUCACUUGGCAUCUCAGUUUGAAGGAGGGUAUGUUUAUCUCUCAAAGCAGAAGGUGAGCAGCAAUGUGGUGGAGAAAUGCCUGAAGAAUUUCCCGGAUGAUGCCAAAGCUGUCAUAGUGCAUGAAUUGCUCAGUGGGUCUCAUUUUGAACAAUUGCUGCAAGACCCUUACGCCAACUACGUCAUCCACACCGCCCUUCUCAACACCAGGGUGAGUAUGCCAUAGCACAGAAAUUCAUCAUCUACAUUGCGUUCCCUCCUUCACAAAUGUUUUUUCCUCCAUGGCAGGGCCAUCUUCACAAUGCCCUUGUCGAAGCUAUCCGUCCUCAUGAGGACGCCAUCCGGACCAGCCCCUGUUGCAAAAGGAUCUCCAGGGCCCUCUCCAGGAGGUGAGAGAGGUGUACAACCUGUAUACCAAGAAGGCUACCUGUAUUUCAUUGUUGUCAAUUUAUGUUCACUAUAAUGUACUUGUCCACGGCGCCCAACACGAGCCUCGUCAGGGUCCUGAAAAGGCGGGUUUUUGUUGCAAGAACAGCGGUUUAAGUUAUCGUCAGGUUGUAAAAAUUUUCCCCAGGUGGUACACGUCUGUCUUCUGUGGUGUAGUUUUUUUUGCCGCACGCCUAGUCCUGAUGGUGGUGCUGUAGUGUAGAGUUGUAAAAGGAACCCGUGUGCUUUCCACCUUGUCUCUGCUUCGUAGCUUCUGUACUGUUUUCCACGUAGGAUUGUGUGAAUUGUUACAGUUGGACAAGUGGUUAUACUUGUUUGCUUUUAAAUACAUAAUGAUGUCUUUUGAGGAACAAUUUCAUCAGAUUUAGCGGAAAUUGGCGUAACUUUUACCUGAGCUUUGGAUGAGGGAAAAAAUGUACUGCAGUGUAGUACUGAUCCGCUACUUUGAGAAUAUGAACUUGCCAACUUUCUUGUUGAAGUGAUAUGCAUUUUGCUGUGUUUUUCUCAAAGAAAAACCCUGAUUUCAGCAACUAGCUUGCUGCUGGGAUAAUGGACUCCCGUCAAUGGUGGAAUGGAAUGGGGAUUUGUGUUUCUCAAGCUGUCGUGCAUCGUGGAUGUGGUCAGCAGCCGAGUGAGCCCGGAGGCGACAGGGUUGAGAAGCCUACGACAACCAAGAACUACCCUGUACGCAGAAAAUGGGUUUCUUCUCCGGAGACACAAGCGAAUGGAACCACCUGUAACGGGAAAACCAGCAGCAGCAGCGGUGCUGCACCAGAAAGAGUAACUAGGAUCGAUACUAGAACUAGCAAGAACGGCGCGCUCCGCCGCGCCCGUAUAAGCAGCACGCCGGCGGUGGAGAAAGCAGGCGCGUCGCGGCCACCUCGGC